GGUUAAGCGACUAAGCGUACACGGUGGAUGCCCUGGCAGUCAGAGGCGAUGAAGGACGUGCUAAUCUGCGAUAAGCGCCGGUAAGGUGAUAUGAACCGUUAUAACCGGCGAUUUCCGAAUGGGGAAACCCAGUGUGAUUCGUCACACUAUCAUUAACUGAAUCCAUAGGUUAAUGAGGCGAACCGGGGGAACUGAAACAUCUAAGUACCCCGAGGAAAAGAAAUCAACCGAGAUUCCCCCAGUAGCGGCGAGCGAACGGGGAGGAGCCCAGAGCCUGAAUCAGCAUGUGUGUUAGUGGAAGCGUCUGGAAAGGCGCGCGAUACAGGGUGACAGCCCCGUACACAAAAGCGCAUGUGCUGUGAGCUCGAUGAGUAGGGCGGGACACGUGGUAUCCUGUCUGAAUAUGGGGGGACCAUCCUCCAAGGCUAAAUACUCCUGACUGACCGAUAGUGAACCAGUACCGUGAGGGAAAGGCGAAAAGAACCCCGGCGAGGGGAGUGAAAAAGAACCUGAAACCGUGUACGUACAAGCAGUGGGAGCACCCUUUGGGGUGUGACUGCGUACCUUUUGUAUAAUGGGUCAGCGACUUAUAUUCUGUAGCAAGGUUAACCGUAUAGGGGAGCCGCAGGGAAACCGAGUCUUAACCGGGCGUUAAGUUGCAGGGUAUAGACCCGAAACCCGGUGAUCUAGCCAUGGGCAGGUUGAAGGUUGGGUAACACUAACUGGAGGACCGAACCGACUAAUGUUGAAAAAUUAGCGGAUGACCUGUGGCUGGGGGUGAAAGGCCAAUCAAACCGGGAGAUAGCUGGUUCUCCCCGAAAGCUAUUUAGGUAGCGCCUCGUGAAUUCAUCUCCGGGGGUAGAGCACUGUUUCGGCUAGGGGGCCAUCCCGGCUUACCAACCCGAUGCAAACUGCGAAUACCGGAGAAUGUUAUCACGGGAGACACACGGCGGGUGCUAACGUCCGUCGUGAAGAGGGAAACAACCCAGACCGCCAGCUAAGGUCCCAAAGUCAUGGUUAAGUGGGAAACGAUGUGGGAAGGCCCAGACAGCCAGGAUGUUGGCUUAGAAGCAGCCAUCAUUUAAAGAAAGCGUAAUAGCUCACUGGUCGAGUCGGCCUGCGCGGAAGAUGUAACGGGGCUAAACCAUGCACCGAAGCUGCGGCAGCGACGCUGAUGCGUUGUUGGGUAGGGGAGCGUUCUGUAAGCCUGUGAAGGUGUGUCGUGAGGCAUGCUGGAGGUAUCAGAAGUGCGAAUGCUGACAUAAGUAACGAUAAAGCGGGUGAAAAGCCCGCUCGCCGGAAGACCAAGGGUUCCUGUCCAACGUUAAUCGGGGCAGGGUGAGUCGACCCCUAAGGCGAGGCCGAAAGGCGUAGUCGAUGGGAAACGGGUUAAUAUUCCCGUACUUGGUGUUACUGCGAAGGGGGGACGGAGAAGGCUAUGUUGGCCGGGCGACGGUUGUCCCGGUUUAAGCGUGUAGGUGUGUGUUCCAGGUAAAUCCGGUUCACUUUAACACUGAGGCGUGAUGACGAGGCACUACGGUGCUGAAGCAACAAAUGCCCUGCUUCCAGGAAAAGCCUCUAAGCAUCAGGUAACAUCAAAUCGUACCCCAAACCGACACAGGUGGUCAGGUAGAGAAUACCAAGGCGCUUGAGAGAACUCGGGUGAAGGAACUAGGCAAAAUGGUGCCGUAACUUCGGGAGAAGGCACGCUGACACGUAGGUGAAGUGAUUUACUCAUGGAGCUGAAGUCAGUCGAAGAUACCAGCUGGCUGCAACUGUUUAUUAAAAACACAGCACUGUGCAAACACGAAAGUGGACGUAUACGGUGUGACGCCUGCCCGGUGCCGGAAGGUUAAUUGAUGGGGUCAGCGCAAGCGAAGCUCCUGAUCGAAGCCCCGGUAAACGGCGGCCGUAACUAUAACGGUCCUAAGGUAGCGAAAUUCCUUGUCGGGUAAGUUCCGACCUGCACGAAUGGCGUAAUGAUGGCCAGGCUGUCUCCACCCGAGACUCAGUGAAAUUGAACUCGCUGUGAAGAUGCAGUGUACCCGCGGCAAGACGGAAAGACCCCGUGAACCUUUACUAUAGCUUGACACUGAACAUUGAGCCUUGAUGUGUAGGAUAGGUGGGAGGCUUUGAAGUGUGGACGCCAGUCUGCAUGGAGCCGACCUUGAAAUACCACCCUUUAAUGUUUGAUGUUCUAACGUGGACCCGUAAUCCGGGUUGCGGACAGUGUCUGGUGGGUAGUUUGACUGGGGCGGUCUCCUCCUAAAGAGUAACGGAGGAGCACGAAGGUUGGCUAAUCCUGGUCGGACAUCAGGAGGUUAGUGCAAUGGCAUAAGCCAGCUUGACUGCGAGCGUGACGGCGCGAGCAGGUGCGAAAGCAGGUCAUAGUGAUCCGGUGGUUCUGAAUGGAAGGGCCAUCGCUCAACGGAUAAAAGGUACUCCGGGGAUAACAGGCUGAUACCGCCCAAGAGUUCAUAUCGACGGCGGUGUUUGGCACCUCGAUGUCGGCUCAUCACAUCCUGGGGCUGAAGUAGGUCCCAAGGGUAUGGCUGUUCGCCAUUUAAAGUGGUACGCGAGCUGGGUUUAGAACGUCGUGAGACAGUUCGGUCCCUAUCUGCCGUGGGCGCUGGAGAACUGAGGGGGGCUGCUCCUAGUACGAGAGGACCGGAGUGGACGCAUCACUGGUGUUCGGGUUGUCAUGCCAAUGGCACUGCCCGGUAGCUAAAUGCGGAAGAGAUAAGUGCUGAAAGCAUCUAAGCACGAAACUUGCCCCGAGAUGAGUUCUCCCUGAGACUUAGAGUCUCCUGAAGGAACGUUGAAGACGACGACGUUGAUAGGCCGGGUGUGUAAGCGCAGCGAUGCGUUGAGCUAACCGGUACUAAUGAACCGUGAGGCUUAACCUU
RNAcentral lists this ribosomal RNA (2906 nucleotides) under Salmonella enterica subsp. enterica serovar Goldcoast. Its description in RNAcentral is "23S ribosomal RNA". It matches the Rfam family "Bacterial large subunit ribosomal RNA". The record is from RNAcentral. Lineage: Bacteria; Pseudomonadati; Pseudomonadota; Gammaproteobacteria; Enterobacterales; Enterobacteriaceae.